GAACCGUUGAUUCGCACA
This 18-nucleotide small nuclear RNA is filed under the name Arabidopsis thaliana (thale cress). RNAcentral's name for it is "snRNA_01574". Lineage: Eukaryota; Viridiplantae; Streptophyta; Magnoliopsida; Brassicales; Brassicaceae. The record is from RNAcentral.